UCUCUUUUUUUAUUGCCUAGUCAGGAGUCAAUGAGUCUUUGUCUUCCCUUCUGGUCGAAAGCCGGCGUAAUUUCAUCGCAGAGAAGCGUAGAGAUCUGACGACGAAGAGUUGACAGGGUUUGCGGGUUCUAGGGUUUAGGAUUUAUACGAUCAAUAGGAUAUUUCCGCAAUUUCUCAUCUCUCUCAUAAACUAGUUUGGUGGACGAAGUUCCUUAAUUUCUGGGUUGGGGGAGACGAUGGAUAACCAAGCAGAUAAAGGGAAAACGAAGAAAGUAAUGUCCCCAUGCGACGUCGAAGCUCUAAAGAAGUGCUUGGAAGAAAACAAGGGCGACUACCUCAAAUGCCAAUCACAAGUGGAAGCGUUUAGAACUUCCUGUUCUUUGAAGAAAACGCAAUCGCCUCCUGAAUCCUCUUCCAAGCUCAAGCGCGGUGUGGUCUCUGAUGGUUGAGAAAGGAUGAUUUUUUUUCUUCUUCCCUGAGUGACACCAAUUUACAUACUUUGUUUCAUCUACAAAUGAAUACGAUAAUGUGUUCUAGAUUUCUCGUACUUAAUAGCGCAGAUAAUCUUGAAGAA
Nelumbo nucifera (sacred lotus) is the source of this 574-nucleotide long non-coding RNA. RefSeq lists it as uncharacterized. The record is from RefSeq and is a predicted model, not a curated record. Lineage: Eukaryota; Viridiplantae; Streptophyta; Magnoliopsida; Proteales; Nelumbonaceae.